CCCAAGGAGUGGACUGAGGGUGCACAUGAAUAGUCUGAGAGCAUUAAUCCUCAUCAUGCUGUGGCUAUGGAAAUUACGCCUUGACAUCAUUUUUCAAAGCCAGUAGCUCAGUAUUUCUGUAUUGAUAGAUGGAAGUUAGUGUUGGCUACUAACAAAAACCCUGGUCACGUGACUGCAAGCACCAAGAGAAAAGGAUGUAACCUAGUCACAAGGCAUUCCUGAUUUGAGGAGUUGACAUCUGUUUAAGUUGUGAGUUUGUCUUCCAUGACACCUCUGGGUCCCUGUUUCAGUGUUUUACCACUCAUGGUGAAAACUUAUUUCCUUUUUUCCUUAAUAUACCCUGAAUUUCCUCUAUUGCAGUUAAUGUGUUUGUCUUGUCCUAUCACUGUGUUUUUCCAAGGAGUCAGAUAGUGUGGUCCAAGUUUCAAUCCUGUGUCUGCCAGAGAUAGUGAAUCUUUUUCCAUGUCUUGGAGACUUUGUUAUUGCAGUUGUCUGCAAGAUAACAUCACAGCACUGUAAGCUCUCAAGAGAAGCAGCUUGCAAAGAAGAGCUGCUUGGGCAGCACAGCAUCUUUUCUAUGUCCUCCCACUGGGUAAUUAAUGGUGGAUAGCAAUAAGGUCACCCUGAAGCCUCGUCCUCUUAAAGCUGAACAAACCUACAGGCGCUCCUUAUUGGUGAUAUUCUCCAGCCCUUGAAAAUCUUCU
This is a long non-coding RNA of Corapipo altera (White-ruffed manakin), 704 nucleotides long. RefSeq lists it as uncharacterized. NCBI's taxonomy places the organism in Eukaryota, Metazoa, Chordata, Aves, Passeriformes, Pipridae. The record is from RefSeq and is a predicted model, not a curated record. The transcript is spliced from 3 exons.